This 265-nucleotide signal recognition particle RNA is filed under the name Pelotomaculum thermopropionicum SI. RNAcentral describes it as "Bacterial large signal recognition particle RNA". It matches the Rfam family "Bacterial large signal recognition particle RNA". From Rfam's summary of the family: The signal recognition particle (SRP) is a universally conserved ribonucleoprotein involved in the co-translational targeting of proteins to membranes. Archaeal SRP consists of a 7S RNA and homologues of the eukaryotic SRP19 and SRP54 proteins. Lineage: Bacteria; Bacillati; Bacillota; Clostridia; Eubacteriales; Desulfotomaculaceae. RNAcentral also lists the same sequence under 1 other name. The record is from Rfam by way of RNAcentral.
CCGUGCUAGACGGGGAGGCAGCGGUGCCCUGUACCCGCAAACCGCUACAGCGGGGUCGAACUCCUGCCCGAGGAGUUGGCUUGUGGGGUCCGGCGCCUGUAAGGGGUGUAGACGAUUGGGUCUCGCGCGACGGGGCUUCCUGAACCGUGUCAGGUCCUGGCGGAAGCAGCACUAAGGGAAAUCCCCCGGGUGCCGCGAGGGCGCCUGAUCUGAGCUGCCUGCGGGUGUAUCGCCCGGAAGCUGAUAUUCGACGGCAGGUGCACGG